RNAcentral lists this long non-coding RNA (1248 nucleotides) under Homo sapiens (human). RNAcentral's name for it is "long non-coding RNA NONHSAT149700.1". The record is from RNAcentral. Lineage: Eukaryota; Metazoa; Chordata; Mammalia; Primates; Hominidae.
GCGCCCGCCUGGCAGGACGACUGAGCAAGGCUUUGGAAAACCAGAGAGAUUAGAGCGGUGAGUUGCGCUGGUCACAUUGGAUACCUGCGCGUUAGGAGAUUCUGGAGCCAGACGGAGAGCCGAAUGGCCUUCGCCCGCCCUGCCCCUCUCUUGCUUCAGAAGCCCCCAGAAACUCCGCGGUCGGCGACCCAGCCCGAGCCGCCUGAGGUCCCAAGGGGAAGCUGAACGCCUGGAGAAUGGGGAAAUGGAGAGAGAACCUGAAAGAGCCCCAAACUCGAGGACCUAUUGCUCCCCAAGAAUAACAUCUUCCAGAACUAGACAGAAACUAAGCGUCUGGAAACCCUGAAAUCCUUGGAGGAGUAGCAUCAUCCUGACCCUCUGUGCUCCUUUUGGCAAAGGACUUGCUUCCAUUGUUUGUUUGUUCAAUUGUCUGUUUGUUAAAUAAAUAAAACUCUUUUCAUAUAUCUUUAAAAGUACGUUGGUUCUAUUAUUUUAUGAUUACAAACAAUGCUGCAGUCAUCAUUCUUCUACACUUGUCAUUGGCCACUGGUAUAUUUCCAUAGGGUGGAGGCCUGGAGAGCAGUUGUUCCAGCAUAGUGCUUACAUAGAUUUUAUUUCAUUCCGUUUUCUUUCCUUUGUUGCUUUAUUAGCUAUAACCCUUUUCUUAUUUCAGUGGCUGCUUUAGGGUUUCUGGGAUAUGUCUUUAAUUUAUCACAGUCUGCUUUCAGGUGUCAUUAUGUCUCCCUUUCUGGCCUUUAUCCUAGUGUUAUGUAAUUUUACUUUAUACAUUAUAAUCCUUGUGAUUCAUUAUUAUUACUUUUAUUUAUUACACCAAAUAUUUUUUAAAAGAUUUAAAUUCUAAGAAAAUGUGUAGUACAUGCUUUCUAAAUGCCAUUUCCAGUAUUCGUUUCUUUGUAUAGGCCCACAUUUUUAUCUGGUAUCCUUUUGCCUCUGCCUGGAGGACUUUUAAUAAGAUUUCUUGUAACGUGGGUUGGUGAAUUGUUUUAGCUUUUGUAUGUUUUUCGAUGUCCUUAUUUCACUCACAGUUUUGAAAUUUUAUUUUUGCAUAGAAUUCCAGGUUAACUUUUUUUCUCUGGGUACUUUAAAAAUGUUACCAUUUAUGAAGCAUUGCCAUUAUAAUAUCAUCUUUCUUUCCUGUGUUUGUAAGAAUGGCAUAAAGCCGGUUUCUUGCGGUGGUUAUAUAAUUUUCAGAAUGUGUACUUAAAUUUAAAAUAUUAAAUUUUACUA